This 942-nucleotide ribosomal RNA is filed under the name Saccharomycopsis capsularis. RNAcentral's name for it is "SSU rRNA". It matches the Rfam family "Eukaryotic small subunit ribosomal RNA", at positions 864 to 1823 of the family's 1831-position model. The record is from RNAcentral. Lineage: Eukaryota; Fungi; Ascomycota; Saccharomycetes; Ascoideales; Saccharomycopsidaceae.
AAUGAUUAAUAGGGACGGUCGGGGGCAUCAGUAUUCAAUUGUCAGAGGUGAAAUUCUUGGAUUUAUUGAAGACUAACUACUGCGAAAGCAUUUGCCAAGGACGUUUUCAUUAAUCAAGAACGAAAGUUAGGGGAUCGAAGAUGAUCAGAUACCGUCGUAGUCUUAACCAUAAACUAUGCCGACUAGGGAUCGGGUGUUGUUCUUUUUUUUGACUCACUCGGCACCUUACGAGAAAUCAAAGUUUUUGGGUUCUGGGGGGAGUAUGGUCGCAAGGCUGAAACUUAAAGGAAUUGACGGAAGGGCACCACCAGGAGUGGAGCCUGCGGCUUAAUUUGACUCAACACGGGGAAACUCACCAGGUCCAGACACAAUAAGGAUUGACAGAUUGAGAGCUCUUUCUUGAUUUUGUGGGUGGUGGUGCAUGGCCGUUCUUAGUUGGUGGAGUGAUUUGUCUGCUUAAUUGCGAUAACGAACGAGACCUUAACCUACUAAAUAGUACUGUUAGCUUUUUGCUGAUAUAGUUACUUCUUAGAGGGACUAUCGAUUUCAAGUCGAUGGAAGUUUGAGGCAAUAACAGGUCUGUGAUGCCCUUAGACGUUCUGGGCCGCACGCGCGCUACACUGACGGAGCCAACGAGUACUAUCCUUUGCCGAGAGGUAUGGGUAAUCUUGUGAAACUCCGUCGUGCUGGGGAUAGAGCAUUGCAAUUAUUGCUCUUCAACGAGGAAUUCCUAGUAAGCGUAAGUCAUCAGCUUGCGUUGAUUACGUCCCUGCCCUUUGUACACACCGCCCGUCGCUAGUACCGAUUGAAUGGCUUAGUGAGGCCUCAGGAUUGGUUUAAAGGAGGAGGCGACUCCACCUUGGAACUGAGAAUCUGGUCAAACUUGGUCAUUUAGAGGAACUAAAAGUCGUAACAAGGUUUCCGUAGGUGAACCUGCGGAAG